CUCGCAGUCCUCUUCGUACUUGACAUUAUCGGUUAUUUUCCACAACAUGGCGUCCGGCGUCCCCCAAAACAGUCGCCAGUUAAAUCCAGGAUCCCCCCAGCCCCCAAGCGGUAAAUCCAAAAUCGGGGUCACGGUGACCAGGCGUCUGCCGCCGCCCCCGCCGCGCGCGGGCCUUGCUGUCCGGGUCACUGGACACGCAUCGGCGGCUCUGCGAGCGUAGAUGCUGCCGCCGCGAGUGUCAAGACCGCUCCGCGGACGGGGAAAGCCGCGCCCGAACAGUGUGUCCUGGCGAUAGCCGG
Molecule: long non-coding RNA, 299 nt
Filed under: Homo sapiens (human)
Lineage: Eukaryota; Metazoa; Chordata; Mammalia; Primates; Hominidae
Description: non-protein coding lnc-GCNT7-6:1
Source: RNAcentral